AGUGCGAGUCUAUCGCGAUUUAGUGCGGUCUUAACAUUAAAAAUGGCCACCCAACGUUAAAAGUGUAAAAAUUCUCAAGACACACAUAAAACAAACAAACAAGGCAAAACAAAAGACAAUCCAAACAAAAAUCCGAGACUUUCAGAAGAACAACAACCCAGCAUUAGAUGUAAUUAAGAGAGGGAAACCGAAUAAAUAAAUACUGAUUGAUGUCCACCAAAUGUGGCACACACUCUAGAUGUUUCCUGUUUGUUUGAUCAAGCCAAUCCAGACUUCUGAUUGUGCCGAGACCAGCUUCUUUCGAUGGGGGUCCUGCAUUCACUCAAGCUGAACUAUAACACGGAUGAUGAUGAUCUGUAUCACAUAUAGCAAGGGUGGUGUUGGGGGUGAAGGAGGUCAUGUCAUUCCUGUGGUCCAGCUGAGGGCAUUUUGUGCCCUUUUCCUCCUCUGCCUCUUCCACCUUACUCCUGCUACAUUCUUACUGAAUUCUUCAACUGGAAUUUGAACCUGUACACCAUCUGACUCUAAAUUGCCAAGCCCUGUAGGGCUACAUUGAAGUAGGUAGCCUUGCUGGGUUCUGUGUAGAUCUACAUUUCAGGGACUGUUAGACUUGGUUUAAAUCUACACAGGAAAGGAGUUGACUUCACAUGCAUACGUAAAUGUGUGUAUAUAUAUAUAUAUAAGCAUAUAGUCAGAAGAGUAUAUACACAGACAUUCCAACACAACAGUAUAACACACAGCUAUGCAUUGCUUCCACCCAUGCAUAUGCAGACGGCUAUAUUCAAACCUCUACACAUAUCCAUUAUAUACUAAGCUAUCACAACUGCACACCUAAAUGCAUACUGCACUUGUGUUAUGGAGCAUAUACUGGAUAGUAACAGUUUAAUAGCAGUAACAACAACAACAGCAAUAACUGCAGCAGUAGCAAUAGCAGCAACAACAACCACUGGCGCUACCACCACCACCACUACAGCUCUUCCUGGCUAUGAACUAACAGAAGGUGUUGUACAGACUGUGACCAACGAGCUGCAACUAAACAGCACCAAGGCGCUUGGCCGAACGACGUGCAACAUCUGCGGAAAAGCAUUCAGUCGCUAUGACAACUUGGAACGGCACAAACUGACCCACCAAGCCGUCAAACCAUUCAGCUGCGACCUCUGCAGCAAAUCCUUUUCUCGUAAGACACACCUCAACCGGCACCAAGCGAUCCACACAGGUGAGAAACCGUUCAAGUGUAGCGUGUGUGGGUUCGGCUUUUCCCAAUACGUGAACCUCGUGCGGCAUAUGCGCACACACGACAACACAGCCAUGUCCACUAUCGUAUACGAAGGCGCGGUGCCACCGACCUCCGACCGACCUUACAAGUGCACCCUCUGCCAGCGUGCAUACAUACGCAACUCAGACUUCCUGCGGCAUGUGAAGAGCCACGGAGAGGCCGCCGGUCAGAACGUAGUGAUGGCCAAGGUGCCAGUAACGGUCAUGAUGACCCCGCAGCAAGCACCGCAGCCACAGCAACAGCAACUGCAGCUGACGCAGACAACAACAUCCCUCCCUCAGACGCCAACUGCCUUCCAGCAUGAGAACCCUUUCAAAUGCAACCUGUGUGGUGCCGUUUUCGCUGCAAACGGUGACCUCACCAAACACAUGAGGCAGCACCGCAAUGAGCUUGGACGCAGCGACGACACUAAGUCCUACCCCAUCACGAAUGGCUAUGUGCACCAAGUGCAACAACUGCCCCAGGAGAACUACUACGAUAGCAGUCGGCCAUAUAUUUGCAACGUGUGCGGCCGGACUUUCUCUCGGAACGGUGACCUCACCAGACACAUGCGCUCGCAUCCGGAGAGCGCAUACGACUGCAAAGAGUGUCUGAAGGCACUAACUGAGCGGCAGGAUGCAAGUGCACAAGGAAAAGUGCAGUCUGCUCCAUUGUACAAGUGCAACGUGUGCGGAAAGACGUUCUCAAACAACAGCUACUUUGAGCGUCACCAGAAGCAGCACUCGCAGGAGAAACCGUUCAGCUGCGACGUGUGUGGAAAGGCUUUUCUGCAGAAGUAUCACAUGAUGGUCCACAAGCGGACGCACACUGGGGAACGGCCCUUCCCGUGUCAGCUGUGUGGGUUUGCAUUCACACGGAAGGACCACCUGGUGCGACACCAACGGCUCAACAAAAACGGAGGAAAGCUGAGCUGCGUGCCACAGAAUGCACUGAUUAACAACCUGCAGCAGCAGCAACAACAGCAGCAAGGGCAGUUUCAGACUGCACAGCAACUGCAGGAACAACAACAACAACAGCAGCUUCAUGAACAACAACAACAACAACAACUUCAUGAGCAACAGCAACCUCAAGAACAACAACACUUACAGCAACAACAACUGCAGGAACAACAGCAGCAGCUGCAGGAACAGCAGCAACAACUGCAGGAACAACAACAGCAGCAGCUGCAAGAACAGCAGCAACAACAACAGCAGCAGCUGCAAGAACAGCAGCAACUGCAGGAGCAGCAGCUGCAGGAACAACAACAGCAACAACUGCAGGAACAGCUGCAAGAGCAGCAAUUGCAAGAGCUGCAAGACCAACAGCAGCAGCUGCAAGAACACCAGCUGCAGGUGCAUCAGCAACAGCAACAGCUGGUGGUCAGUGUUGUAGAACCAAACGGUGCAGGUGUUGUCGCACAGGCACAAGGUGUCGCCACCGCAAUGCCUCACUACAUCAACAUUUGACCUUCCUUACCAAACUUGACCUCUUUAUCAAACUUGACCUCUUGAUCCUGCUGAAUAACCUCCAACUCCCUCACUCCUAAUUUAACUCUUUCUUGCCUGUCCUCUCUAUUAUUUCUUGUCUUGUCUUAAUCUAUCGCAACCUCCCUGACCGUUUGACCCCCAUCCUCCUCCCCCCCCAUCCCAUGCCUUAACCUCUCCUAAACUAUUUUGGUACAUCUUAACCUAAUCUCACUUGUACUGAUAUAAUUCCUUUUGACCUCUUAUCACUUGUCAUAGACUUCUUGGAUCUGACCUCCGUUGACCCAUCUGGUCAGUUUCUUUGGACCCUAUGUCUCCCUAAUGUCACUUCCUCUAACCAGACACCCCUCUCCAUCUCUCAAAUGUCUCUUCUCUUACCCUGAUCUCACCUCUAUACUCCCGCCCCACCUGACCUCUCCAAAAGACUUUGAGGUCAGCAACAUCGAACCAGUGACCUUUGUAUUAGCCCAUGGUUUGCUGUCAGUACUAAUGAUGAGGUGGGAAGAGGUUUCUCUCCACUGUCUGGUGUCUGUGGGAAUUUUGGACAUACUCACGCACACAGAUACGCAUGCGUGCGCACUGAGGCGUUCUUGUCUAAUAUUCUGAAGUG
Molecule: unclassified non-coding RNA, 3349 nt
Filed under: Octopus sinensis (East Asian common octopus)
Lineage: Eukaryota; Metazoa; Mollusca; Cephalopoda; Octopoda; Octopodidae
Description: zinc finger protein 2-like, transcript variant X2
Source: RNAcentral